AACUGACCGCCCGUGCGUCACACCUGGGAGCUGAGCUGAAGCCCAUGAUUUGAUCCGCGAGCCAUUAGACGCCAGAACGAGCAGACCAUGGGCUAAUAGAAUAGUGUCACAUGACGUUUCGAUUACAACCCAGACCAAGGGACUCACUAACUGUUCACUACAGGUCUUAAAGGGAUCGAGACACAUGGAAAACAUCAGGUUGGGUCACCACAGCAACCUUGGAUGGAGGCGAAAUAAGAGGAGAGGGCGAUCGCUCAUUAUGGACUGCCCAACAGAAACUCMUCCCUCAUCUGGAAAGAAUAGGAAUUACACCUCGGGUGCAGUCAUCUAGUUUUAACAGAUUCCAACAUACUGCCACAACUGGGCAGAUUAUUUGGCUAAGAGGACCACUGGAACACAAACAUGUCGUGAUGUGUCAGAUUACUACCUGGACAAAAUGCAUCCGAAUACUACCUCUACUAGAACUGCCUCUACAUACGAGAUAGACAAGAUGAGACCAGAGCAUGGGCUAUCAGAAGAUGAUGAUGGCCUCCGAAAUUAUAAACGGAUAUUGUUCCAUGGGUUUGUGUAGCAAAAGUACAGGAAUUCAUUAGAAACACUCAAUAUGAAGUGAUCACAUACUCAUCUAUUCCUUUAAUAUUAUUUUGGCUUUGUGUGAUUCUGUGACUAAAUCUAUUCUGUAUUUGUGAUGAAGUCUUCUAAUAAAUCUUUAUUUGGCUA
Non-coding RNA from Salvelinus sp. IW2-2015, 720 nucleotides. The record is from RefSeq and is a predicted model, not a curated record. NCBI's taxonomy places the organism in Eukaryota, Metazoa, Chordata, Actinopteri, Salmoniformes, Salmonidae.